UCUGGCAGCCAGCCCACCGCAGAGAAGAGGGAACUCCGCAGAGAAGAAACUAGCAACGAGGCCCCAAAGGUGGAAGUGCAGCCUGAGAAACUUGAGCCGGCCCGGGACUGUGCCGGCCUUGCCACUCACUCUGCAGGGUGUGGCGUGCAGGACCCCUCCGGCUUCACAAGACCGAUCUGCCUCCUGUGACAGAGAAACGGAAGCCCAAAGAGGUGAAAUAACUUGCCCCAGGACGCACAAGCAGGAAACAGAGGAGCCAGGAUUCAAACCCCCUGUGUGGCCAUCCCUGGAGCCCAGACUCUGACCGCAGCCACUUCAGCUUUCAAGUGAAAAUCAAGAUGAUGAGGUAAAGGUUAGUGCUGCCUCCAACUGACACUGGGGAUUGGAGCAAUCUUGUCUCCUCCCUUGUAGGUAAUAUUUUGGGUUUCCUUCCUUGCACACAGCCAGGCAAAUGACUGCAAUUCUAAAAAGAGAUAAAUAUAAAAACAAGAAGUGAAACACUACAGACACCUGAAACCCGACCAUUUCUGCAAGCUCGAGCUAGCAGAGUCGCCUCGCAACAGAAAUAGUUCUGUCCUGUUUAGAUAGGCUUUGUUUUGCUACAUGGCUGCAUAUGCAGUGAAGUGAUAUCAAGUCCUGAGGGUCCACUCCUUUGAUGAGUUAAACACACAAAGGCCUACAUUUUGAUGUAAUCUGAUAGCAUGUAGUUAAGUCCUAGACAAAGUGCAACUGUGAGGAAGUGAUAAACCCAACUUCCUGCACAAAGCCGCCUGAGAUAACACUUUCCAUGGACUGGAGAAAAAAAGAGAGAGAGAGAGAGAGAGAGAGAGAGACAUGAUUGCUACAGAAUUUUAAAAGAACUAUUCCAUUCUUAAUAAAUAAACCCUUCUCCAUGGGGCUCCAGCAACAGCUAAAUAAAACGGACUGCAGUCAGGUGACUAUGUAGUAUUUCCACAUAUGACUUAAUUCUCACUUUUAUUCAUAGACAGUGUCAAUCACUGGAGAUUCACUUGAUUUUUUUCUCUUAAGAGUACUCUAGUUCAAACUCGAAAUCUCAGGUAUCUUCUUGGCCAGAACAUCCCUGCAGUUGACCAAGAACUCGAAUUGAGGGAAUUGAGUUUGCAUUAACUGGCUUAAUGGUGUUCCCACUGAGUCAUUAAAGAGGUUGAAUCAGUCUGAAUAAACACACAUUGGAAGAGUUGUCAGAUUAUGGAAGGACCAAUAACUAUUUCCACAAUGCCAAAACAAGGUCAGUCAUGGUUUCACUAAGGGUUCUCAAGAAUCAUGUCCUAUCUAAACAACCAAUAAGGGCUGACUGUGCUGGGAAUUUUCUGUGAAUACAUUUACUCCUUUACUAAUAUAGCAAAUAUUGUAGAGAUUUUUAGCUCACAAUAUUCCCCAAAGAGCACCUACUAUGUGCUAGGAAAUACAAUAGCAAACACAGAAAGAAACAGCCCCUUCCCUCAAAGACUAGUUAGGAAGAUGAAUAGUAAAGUAAACAUAGAAAUAUGUGUAAAUCACAAAUUUUAUUGAGUGCUUUGACGAGAAAGGACAGGGUGGCCUGAUUUUGGUUUUGGAUGAGGUGAUCACUUCCCUGAUGAUGUGAUAUUUAGGCCUGAAUCAUUCAAGCAGACCAAGAGGGAGGGAAGACAGUUUCGGCAGAGAAAACAGGCCAUAUCAAGGCCUUGAGUUGGCAAACAGCAUGGUGCCUUCAGAAGCUAAAGGAAGGCCAUGUGUCCAGAAUAAAUUAAAUAAGGAGAGAGAGAGAGUCUGAUAUAAUCCUGGAAAGCACAGAGGAGCCAGAUCAGGCAAGGGCCUUGCAGGCCAUGUAAAGAAGUUUGGCUUUAUCGUGAGCAUACUGGGGAUUAUUCCAGAAAACACUGCUGAACCUCUAAUAGUGUUUUGUUUGUACAUUGUUUACUAGGCAAGGCUCUCAGAGAAAUGAAGCAGCCCUAACAUUCUUUGGGGAAUAUUGUGAGAUAAAAAUCUCUACAAGUAAUCUGGAGCAUUAAAGGUAUUCCCCUCAGUUCAGCCAGUUCAGCCAAGCCACAAACUGGGAGGGGGGAAAAAUCAGAAUGAUAAAAAAAUUUAACGAACCAUGUCAUUUUAUUAUUUUGAUAUGAUUAUAGAGUCACAUGGUUGUACAUAUACACUCGCCAUAUGGACAAAUCCUCUUGUUUCACAAAAGAAACUAAGGCCCAGAAAUAGACUUUGGAGAUGCCUUUGCUGCAGUCAUUGGGAUGGGAAAGUGAAUGUCCUGCUGCUGAGAAUAUCACAAUGGAUCUGAAAAACUGGGCUUCCAACAUGUAAAACCAGCUUCAAGUUUUCUUUCAUUAGGGCUUCUUAAUGUGUUGGUUUUAUUCCACAAUCAAGUGAUGCUUUAAAUCUUUCAGGCACAGGUUAAUAAAAGUCAUUUUUUCCUCUUGUGUCUAUUUCCAAGCCCUGACCCAUGUUUCUGAGAACCUACUCUGCGUAAACCCCACUGGCUACCUGGCCCUCAACUGAUGGGUUUUGAAGCACGGAGUAUGAUUAGAGAUUUGCUUUUGAUUCUGAGGCUCGUGACAAGGGAUCCUGGCCCUGAAGCUAGGGAAUUUGCUGGUUUGAGAUUGAAUCAAGUUCUUAAAAAAAAGGAUUGACACUUCAGGGCCAACCAGACAUUGCCUUUGCUAUUCUGAUGACUUUCGACUUGGGGCUGAGUGGAUUCCUGCUAUGUAGUAGCAUUUUGACCUCAGUACAGUUUCAUUUAGUUGACCUCAGAGAAAAUCCUCUACCUCUCUGGGCCUCUACUUCUCUUCAGAUGAUGCCUAAGACACUUACAUGUCCAACAUUCUAUAUGUUGGCAAGACAAAUAAAAAAAGUUUAGAAUCUUGACAGAAAAUGUCCUUAGCACCUCACUUCCUAUAAUAGAAUGGAAGGAAGGAAGGAAGGAAGGAAGGAAGGAAGGAAGGAAGGAAGGACAGAAGAAGACUGGGGUUGGAGGAGAGAGAAGGAGGGAGGGAGAGAAGGUAAAAAGGAAGGAAAAGAAGGAAGAAGUCAUUAGUGAACAAAACUAAGGAAGGAAAAAAGGCAAAAGCUGUGCUUUCCAUACCACUCUGCAACCUUAACAGAAAUAGAUUGGGCUUGAGUUGUGAAUAAGUUAUUGUUUAUUUAGCCAUCAAAACACAGCCCAGUGGAGUAUACUUAAGCAUCCUUUGCAGAUUAAGAUUCUGGAUACCUAUGCGUCAGCAACUUCUGUUUAAGAAAACAAAUGAAGUUUCAGGAAAAAAAUUGUUAGAGAAGAGUUAUGCUUUUUUUUUUUUUGAAAUAUUUCAGGGUUGCCUGGGUGGCUCAGCCUGUUAAGGACCAGACUUCAGUUCAGGUCAUGAUCUCACAGUUUGUGAGUUCCAGCCCCGCAUAUGGCUCUCUGCUAUCAGUGCGGAGCCCGCUUUGAAUCCUCUGUCUCCCUCUCUCUCUGCUCCUCCCUUGCUCUCUCUCUCUCUCAAAUAAACAAAUAUUUUUCUUAAAAAGAAAAAUAAAUAAAUUUGAAAUGCCUUAUAUUGCAAAGAUUUUGUAAAUCAUUGACAUCUACGGAAAUCACUUAGCCCAGAGGCUAGCACUUAGUAAGUACUCAGUAAAUGUUAUUUAAUGCUAUAAUUCAUACUACAGAGAACCAGAAAACUUGAAAUCCAGACCUCUGAACGGAUAGCUAUGUGAUUUAAGCAGGUGUCUCUGCCUCUCUAAGUCUGUUUUCCAAAUCUGAAAGAAGAAUGGAUUGGAUUCAAUUGAAUGAGGUGGCAUACAGAGCUUCUCCAGCUGCUAUUCUCCAAGUCCAUUUCAAUUGUGUUAGGGCCCCCAUGUUUGAAUUGAACAUUAAUAUUUUAAUGAAAAUAAUUUCUUUCUCACACCGUAUUGUAAAGCACCUGCAUAACUUUGCAGAGCAUUUCUCUUUCCUUCCCUAAGCAGAUUCUGGAGCACUAAAAUUAAAGAGAAGUAAAGGGGAUUAACAUUUCCCUAAAAGGACCAAUUGGAAGGGCAACUUCAGGGCACUAGUUAAAAUGUCAGUCCCCUUAAUAAAUGUCCAGUUAGGGAGUCUGGUCCUAGUACUGCAUUGUAGUAUUUAGAGGACUGUGAGAGUGGGGUCAAGCUCUGUUGGCUCUUAACUCCAUCACAACAUCUGCUCAAGACUCAGGACUUCCUAAAACUGGAUUUUAAACACCCCUAAGAGACUGCCAUUUCCCUGAGGGUUUCUCUUCAAGUAAAAAUGUUUUUGCCUCCCAAAUUGAGUCAACACAUCUGUUCCUACCUAUCUUAAAAGCUUCAUCAAUUCAAUAAUUGUCCAAAAGGAAGAGGGAAAAAAAAAAGCUAUUGUGUGAUGAAAACUUUUGGCAAAUCUUAUGAAAACACAUUCUUAAAACAUCUCUCAUUUCUGAGAAACAAAGUAAAAUGUAUGAAUUGUGUUUUGUUUCAUGACGAACAAAAUGAUUCAUUGCUACAAUGAGGUAUUUUGACCAUAUCUACAUAAAACAAGUAUGAACAUUCAAUUGAAAAAAUAAAAAUAACUCAAUUAGAAAAAUAAACUUUGAGUACCUCCUCUCUAAACGGCACUGAACUUGGCCUCAAAAAACUAGGCAGGUUGUCAUGCUCAAGUUUAAGUUAUUUAGGUGUUAGCUGUAGCUUCUAUGCACUGAGAAGUUUCUUUACAGCUACUUCUCUGUGCUAACACAGUAGCCUCCAGCCACAUGUGGCUACUGAGUGCUUGAAAUGUGGCUGGUUAAAUUGAGAUGUUUUAUAAGAGUAAAA
Molecule: long non-coding RNA, 4779 nt
Organism: Panthera uncia (snow leopard)
Lineage: Eukaryota; Metazoa; Chordata; Mammalia; Carnivora; Felidae
Exons: 2
Source: RefSeq, a predicted model, not a curated record